This 3519-nucleotide long non-coding RNA is filed under the name Canis lupus familiaris (dog). Its description in RNAcentral is "lncRNA (ENSCAFG00845014616.1)". Lineage: Eukaryota; Metazoa; Chordata; Mammalia; Carnivora; Canidae. The record is from RNAcentral.
CGGGCUCGGCUUUUGUCCCGUGUCGCCUGCUGUGUGCAUAGCACCCCCCGGGCUUGUCGGGCGGCUCCCCAGAACCACUCACACUAAUGUGCUGCUAACUGGGACAGAUCCGUGGGACACAGGAACACCUGUCGGACUCAGACCCGUAACUUUACCGCCAAAGUCGGUCUUCACCCCAAGUAGCUUCUGCUACUAGGUCUUUAAAUGUAUGUUCAGUUUAAGCAUUUUCGGCAUUUCCCAGACAUCUCCUGCAAAUGCCUAUUUUGCUACCGAAGAUAAAUGGUGAAGGGGCUGUUUAAAAACCGCAACCAGUUUUCUAUACUAUUUUUAAAAUAACGCUCUCAUUUAAAAGAAAAUCAAAUAAAAAGGAAUUCUAGUUUUCAGAUACACUUCAGAGAUCGAAGCAAACUUUUUGCCUUUUAUUCAGAAGCCUGUUUGCCUUUAAGUGGACUUACCAGCAAAAUAGGUGGAACUUCCUCUUUUCAAAAAAAAAAAAAAAGGCAACUGGAAUUGUGAAGAGAGGUGAUUUUCCAGGUCGCACUUUGAGUCUAAUAUAAUUCCACAUUCUUUUUACCCUUUUUCUUAGUCUAGAUUUAGAAUUAGGUUCCACGUCAUUUCUUUCUCUGUAUUCAUAGUUACUUGGUCCUCCCCCGUUUUCUUGAAAUAAGAGAGGUCAUAACACAUACAUAAUUCUAGAGGGGGCAGGGAGGUGACACAGGUCACUUCCCAGACUGUUCCCAUUCGGGGUUGAGAGUAAGAAAACCGUGAAUCGAAACACCUAGAAAGACCAGGGGUGUUAACAGCCUAAGACCGUCUUCAAAACUCUGGAGUCGGAGAUUUUUGUCCACUGAAUGAAUAUUCAGAGAGGCUCCUGGGCCCCCCAGUGAUGACAGUCGAGGUCAGACGACACAAAUCAAAAAACAAGAAUGAAGCGCGUCCCUGCAGAGAAACACUGGAGAGCAGUUACAGACAAGAGCUACGUCCACUUGCCUCGACCUCAUCAGUGGGAUCCUUCUCCAAAAUGUUCAUAUCAAAGUAGGAUGAAUAUAACAGAAAUGAAUUUUCUGGCCUAAAAAAAAAAAAAGUAAAAGUUUUCUUUUUGAUCUUAAAACAUGGAUUAUUUCUAUGGAGCUCUUCAACGUGAGUAAAAUGCCCCCAGUUAAGUAAUGCAGGAGAUCGUGGUCUGAAAUAGGGCCAAUUUAGGUCUUUUUGUCCCAUAGUCCUAUUUUUGAAUUAUUAAGUCAAUUCCUCUGGUCCCUGGGUGAGAGAGGGGGUUGGGCAGCAGGGAGUGACCUCGUUGGUAAAACUUAAAACACAGCACUGCAGUCGCAGGGACUUCCUCCCGUUAGAGGAAACCUCUGAUUUUUUAACCUUCCAAAGAGGAGGGGGAAAGUAGCAGUUUUGCCAGGAUUGAAACAGCUGAAGUGACUUUUUAACUUGUAUUUUCUGAAAUAGAGGACACAUACUCUUCUUCAAUUAAAAAGCCCCUUGUAGGGACUUUGGCAAAUGCUAACACCGUUGCUUUACAAUGUUUACAGUUCAGAAAAUACGACGGCAGAAAAUCCUCAUUCAUUUAACAUUGAAAAGCUGCGAGUGGCUUCUUUAAUGUUGAAUAGUACACCACGAUAUCGAGCAUGAACUUUCUAAAUGUUUUAUAUUUACACAUAAAAAUAUAUUGGUGGCUCACACCCGGAGAGAUGCUAGAAUAGGGCAGAAAUUGUUAACUGGAGAAUGGCUGUUUCUCAGGAAUGUAGCAAAUUUAAGAUGUUCUCUGUGCUGCCCAAGCCUCCCACCCCCCACUCGAAGACUGGUGUGAACGGGCUCGGCAGUGUUGCAAAGCUAACGGAAACCCUUUUUUCUAAUCAAGUCAGGUGAACGUGGAUUCUUAGUCAACAAUAUUAUUCACUCUACACGAAUUAUAUAGUCACUGAAUGGAGUCAGUGAUUCCUCUUAAUUUUCAGGGGGAAAGCUGAAUUCCAGAAAUCAACAUUUAUUCUGAUUGUUAGGCUGUACAUUUUAAUUUUGCCAUUUAGCAUUCUAAAUAUCAAAUACGAACAUCACAUGAUAAAUUUGUUCCAUGGUGUGUGCGCUGUGCAUCACCUAUCACUUGCCAUUUAAAACAUCCUUCCAGGAAACAGAUGCUAGUCUGAAAGUAAUAGAUUGUAUAUUUGUAGUUUUUAAACUAUUUGUAGCAAUGUCCCAACGAUUACCAUACUAAAUGAUCAUCAGUGUAUAUUUUUGUGCAGUUGCCCUACGACAGUUCUUGGUUCUAAAACUUAUUUUAUCAAAUAAGCCUAUAAUCUUAUAAAUAACCAUUUAUAAAAUUUAUGGAGACGACGCCCGCCCCAUUCACAUCAUGUGGACCAGAUCUGUGGAGUUCUUUUUUUGUAAAUUCAUGAACACCAUGCAGUUCGGUGCCUAAUAAAUGCUUUUUAAUGAUGAACAUUUCUAUAAUGCUUCUUUAAGAGAUCACAAUCUGAUUUUUCUCACAUUAAAAUAACUGAAGUCACUUGUGAGACUUAGUUAUACUUUGCUGCAUUUUAAUUAACCUUCAGUGGCUAUUAAAAUGGAAUGUAAGUUAAACUUUGAAGGAAAGGAAAUAAAUGUUUUCCAUUUUUCGUCUUGAUUUAUUUUCUGUAUGAAAGCAGCUGUGUUUUUGAUAGGUUUAUGGUUUGCAUGAAUUAAUAUUUAAAGUGGCCUGGGCCAAUGCAUGGCUGUUGCUGUAAAUCUUGAUGUUUAUUUCUGCCUUAUAAAAUUCUAUCAUGGCCUACCUGGAAUUUAAUAUUCAGUGGACAAAUUAAUUGGUUCUUUGCACAACUUUUUUUAAUAAGUAAAUUAUUUUACAAACAAAUUUAAUUGCAACUUUUGUUUAGCUUGCUUCUAAGAACUUUCCUUAAUAAAGCUCACAAAACUUCUCAGCAAAUAAAUCUCCCGUAAGUAGGAAAAAAGCUAGAUUUCGUACAUGCUUACUUUGAAUUAACAGCAACUUUCCAUAGGUAAAUCUGCUCUUGCAAAAACGUGAGCAGAAUAUUAAAAAAUAAUAUCUUUAUGUUUCAUGGUUCUAGAAUAGAAGCCAUAAAUGCAGUAAAUACUGUUUGCUGUUUAUUUAGCUACUUCAAGCUUCAUUUUUCACAUUUUCAAGUUUAUUAAGUUUUUUUUUUAAAAAAAGGCAGCCUUGGAAGGCAGCUACUAUGGAAAAUCGAAGUUUGCAUUAAAGAUAAAAUAGUUUUUUCAGCUCCAUGAAAAACCAUUCCUGCUGAAACUGCUGUCGAAAUUGUGAAGCUGCAUGAGUGGAGACUAUUGAAUCUGUGAUUAUAGUUUUCUCAGGUUUGUUUAUCUCGAUGUUCAAUGCACUGUGUUUUAUAAAUAGUUAUUAAAGUUGAGUAAUACUCAGUUCUAUGCAGUGUUAUGUGUCAUUGGCCUUUUGUGAAUGUGCAUGUUUUAAACUGCAAAUUUUAAACAUUUUGUCCUCUCAUUGUUAUUAAAAAUUAAAUAAACCGUACCAUUACAUAAAGAAAA